This 480-nucleotide ribosomal RNA is filed under the name Triticum aestivum (bread wheat). RNAcentral describes it as "partial small subunit ribosomal RNA". Lineage: Eukaryota; Viridiplantae; Streptophyta; Magnoliopsida; Poales; Poaceae. The record is from RNAcentral.
AUGAGUCAUCUUGAUGGCAUCAACAUCCCCGAUGGAAAAUUCUACCUAGGAGAUGCUGGAUUUGCAUGUCGGACAGGUGUUCUUCCACCCUUCAGAAAAAUCAUGUACCAUCUGAACGAGUUCGCUGGUAGGAACUAUCCUAAGACAAAACAUGAGUUGUUCAAUCUCACACACUCCAGUCUUAGAGUUGCUGUUGAGAGGGUGUUUGGAGCUCUGAAGAACGGGUUUAAGAUCCAAGAUCGAAAGUCAUUUCACACCUUCCUCACUCGGGUUAAGCUUAUUCUUACUUGUUGCAUUUUGCAUAACUAGAUCCUACAAUAGAGUUGUGAUGAAUUGGUGCCUGGGGAGGAAGAUGUAACACGUGAUGAUGUUAUGAGCUCCGGCCAUGCUAUGGCGGCAUUUGACAACAAAUUCUGAAAGAACAAAAAGAUUGAGUGGGCACAUGCAAUGUGGGAUAACAGGGGUCAGGCAAGGAUCUGA